CGUGUAGGCGGUUUGUACAGUCAGAUGUGAAAUCCCCGGGCUUAACCUGGGAGCUGCAUUUGAGACGUGCAGACUAGAGUGUGAGAGAGGGUUGUGGAAUUCCCAGUGUAGAGGUGAAAUUCGUAGAUAUUGGGAAGAACACCGGUGGCGAAGGCGGCAACCUGGCUCAUUACUGACGCUGGGGCGCGAAAGCGUGGGGAGCAAACA
Molecule: ribosomal RNA, 207 nt
Filed under: uncultured bacterium
Lineage: Bacteria
Description: partial 16S ribosomal RNA
Rfam family: Bacterial small subunit ribosomal RNA
Source: RNAcentral